GACGAACGCUGGCGGCGUGCUUAACACAUGCCAGUCGAACGGAAAGGCCCUGCUUUUGUGGGGUGCUCGUGUGGCGAACGGGUGUGUAACACGUGAGUAACCUGCCCUUGACUUUGGGAUAACUUCAGGAAACUGGGGCUAAUACCGGAUAGGAGCUCCUGCUGCAUGGUGGGGGUUGGAAAGUUUCGGCGGUUGGGGAUGGACUCGCGGCUUAUCAGCUUGUUUGUGGGGUAGUGGCUUACCAAGGCUUUGACGGGUAGCCGGCAUGGGAGGGUGACCGGCGACAUUGGGAAUGAGAUAAGGACCAGACGGGUACGGGAGGCAGCAGUGGGGAAUAUUGCACAAUGGGCGGAAGCCUGAUGCAGCAACGCGGCGUGCGGGAUGACGGCCUUCGGGUUGUAAACAGCUUUAGCAUGUGACGAAGCGUGAGUGACGGUAAUGGGUAAAGAAGCACCGGCUAACUACGUG
Molecule: ribosomal RNA, 468 nt
Filed under: uncultured bacterium
Lineage: Bacteria
Description: partial 16S ribosomal RNA
Rfam family: Bacterial small subunit ribosomal RNA
Source: RNAcentral